AGUGGCGAAAGGGGCAGUAAGGCGUGGGUAACCUACCCUGGGGACCGGGAUAGCCUUCCUAACGGAUGGGUAAUACCGGGCGAUCUGCCGAGGGGGCAUCUCCUUGUCAGGAAAUGAGUUUCGCCUCGGGAGGGGCUCACGUGAUAUUAGCUAGUUGGUGAGGGGACGGCCCCCACCAAGGCGAAGAUGUCUAGCGGGUGUGAGAGCACAACCCGCGCCACUGGCACUGAGACACUGGCCAGACACCUACGGGUGGCUGCAGUCGAGGAUCUUCGGCAAUGGGCGCAAGCCUGACCGAGCGACGCCGCGUGUGCGAUGAAGGCCUUCGGGUUGUAAAGCACUGUCGAGGGGGAGGAAGGCCGCAAGGCUUGACCUAUCCCUGGAGGAAGCACGGGCUAAGUUCGUGCCAGCAGCCGCGGUAAGACGAACCGUGCGAACGUUGUUCGGAAUCACUGGGCUUAAAGGGCGCGUAGGCGGACCAUCAAGUCCGGGGUGAAAGCCCCCAGCUCAACUGGGGAAGUGCCUUGGA
RNAcentral lists this ribosomal RNA (529 nucleotides) under uncultured bacterium. RNAcentral describes it as "bacterial SSU rRNA". It matches the Rfam family "Bacterial small subunit ribosomal RNA", at positions 94 to 630 of the family's 1533-position model. The record is from RNAcentral.